ACACCAACUGCUUUCGGUGCAACGAUUUAGAUUGAUUUGUGUUAAAGGUUAAACUAUCAAUGGCCAACAGAUGUGAGAUUCCGAAUUUUUAAUAGGCGAGGUAAAAUUUUGAAGUAAGCUGUGACAGAAAUAAAGAAACAGCAUCAAAGGAGAAUUUGCCAUGGCUGAGAGUUAGGAGAACCUCGAAGGAAAAAAUUAGGUCUGUCAGCAAACAUUUACCAGCCUGCUCUAAAGAAAAUAAUAAUGGCAGACCCUCAGCUUACUCAAGAAAUGAAGAGGCAUGCUGUUAUUAUGGUUAUAAAGGCUGAGCAUAGGGAUUUAGAAAUAUCUCGAUUUUUAAAAGUUGCCAGAUCUUUCGUCUACAAAGUUUGUAAGGAGUUAUAGACUGAAGAGGGAAACAUAUCACCAGUAUCAAAAUAAAAAGCAUUCUAAACGUCCGGAAAUCAUCAGAACACCUGAAUUUAUCCUGCAAGUUCAACAGACCAUUGAUUACAAUCUCAGAAAGUUCAUGAAGUCAAUUGCAAAAGAAGGAACAGUCAGGAGUGUUGUCCACAAAGACAUCAGAUAUAAGUCUUAUGUGAUGAGGAAAGGUUAAUUUGUUAGAAAAAGCAAAAGAAAAUUACUACAUCAGAUAUAAAAGGCUCUUAAAUAAACUGAAAAAUCCGGUAGAGUUGAUUUUUCUCGUUUGAGAAAAAUUUCGACUAAGAUCAAAAAGUUAACAAAAGAAAUGACAGAUGGUUAUGUGCAGACUCUUCUGAAGUUCCAAGUGUUAUGCAUGCAACUGUCAUAGUUUUAAGGGUUCUCAGCAAUGAAGGACAUGUGAUGCCUCCUUACUUCUUUCCACAAGGCCUUAGAGUUAACUCUGCUGCCUAAUUGUUAAGCCCUGGAUAGACAAUGUAUGCAAUGGAAGGCCGUAUGUGUUUCAGUAAGACUGCACUAUCACACAUGGCUCUUGUUACACAGGAAUGGAUGGUUGAAAAUUUUCAUGAUCACAUAACCCCUAAAAUUUGGCCUCCUAAUUCUCCAGAUCUCAAUCCAUUGGACUAUUAUAUCUUGACUUAAAAACAAGUAUUAUUAUAUACAAAUAUUAUUACAUACACCAAAAGAAACCCAAGAUCAACAAUAGAAGGGAGUUACAGGAAGCUAGCUGGUUGUUGUAGCAACAUCCUUCUGUGCGUGUCCACUCCACACACGCACAACAGCAACGUUCGUCAAUUUCUUGAAAAUGGGGUCAUAACCCCGAAAUAUUGAAUACAAGCAAAAUAGAUCCCUGUUGCUUUUUGGAAAUAAGAAUGACCCCUAGCGAGAAGAUCACAACCAAAUUGAAAUUUGAUUAUACACUUCGUGGGCAAGUUCUCGAGUUUUAAUACUUUAUCCGCAAUAAUUUAAAGAUAUCAUCAGAAUAAGGUAAUUAAAAUUCAUUAAAAUGACAGAUUUACCGGACUUUCAAAGUGGUCAAAUUGUUGGAGCUCUUAUGGCAGGCGCUAGCGUAACGAAAACAGCCGAAAUGCUUGUUGUAUCAAGAAGUACUGUCCCGAAAGUAAUGACAGCCUUUGAGAAAGAGGGAAAAACCUCCUCGUCCAAACGAAAUUCCGGAAGAAAACCAAAACUUUUAGAUAGGGACCGUCAGACUCUUACGCAAAUUAUUACAAAGGAUCACAAAAGUACAGAGCUUAAUGACCACCUCGAGAACCCAUUUUCCACGCUGAGAGCUGCAAAAAGCCGGAUUUCACGAGAGGGCUGCAAUCAGAAAGACACUAAUUUCAAAAGCAAACGUUGUAAAGCGUUUAGAAUGGAGUAAAAAGCUAUAAAACUGGUACCUAGAGUAGUGGAAGAAUGUUAUUUUCUCGGACGAGUCAUCCUUUACCUUAUUUCCGACCACUGGCCGAGUAUACGUAUGGAGACAGCCAAAAGAAGCAUUUGACCAAGAUUGCCUUCUUCCAACUGUUAAACAUGGAGGAGGAUCUAUGAUGAUCGGGUGGGGGUGGGGGGCUAUAUCUUGGAAAUUCGCCGGCCCAAUGGUUUCCCUUUGUGGCAGAAUUAAUAGUCAAAACUAUUUAAGCAUUUUAUCUGACCAAAUUCAUCCUAUGGUUGCGGAACUGUUUCCGAGAGAAACGCAAUCUUUCAGGAUGAUAAUGCACUAAUUCACACCGCUAAAGUUGUUACUGAAUGGCAUGAGGAACAUUCUAGAGAAGUUGAACAUCUUAUCUGGCCAGCACAGUCCUCAGAUCUCAAUAUUAUUGAACAUUUAUGGUGCAUUUUGGUAAGGUGUCCAUAUCCUCCACCAUCAUCACUACAAGAGUUGGAGACUGUUUUAGCUGAAGAAUGGACAAGAAUUCCUUUGUAAACCAUUCAAACUUUGUACGAAUUCAUACCUCGUAGAAUUCAAGCUGUAAUUACUGCCAAAGGCAGACCUACUCCAUAUUAAAAUAAAUUUGUUUGAAAUUAUAA
Molecule: long non-coding RNA, 2451 nt
Organism: Octopus bimaculoides (California two-spot octopus)
Lineage: Eukaryota; Metazoa; Mollusca; Cephalopoda; Octopoda; Octopodidae
Source: RefSeq, a predicted model, not a curated record